RNAcentral lists this non-coding RNA (111 nucleotides) under human gut metagenome. RNAcentral describes it as "FMN riboswitch (RFN element)". It matches the Rfam family "FMN riboswitch aptamer (RFN element)". Rfam says of the family: The RFN element is a highly conserved domain that is found frequently in the 5'-untranslated regions of prokaryotic mRNAs that encode for flavin mononucleotide (FMN) biosynthesis and transport proteins. This element is a metabolite-dependent riboswitch that directly binds FMN in the absence of proteins. The record is from RNAcentral.
AAUCUUCGGGGCAGGGUGAUAAUUCCCUACCGGCAGUUAAAGUCUGCGAGCUAAAAAGCAUGAUCCGGUGUAAUUCCGGAACCGACAGUAAAGUCUGGAUGAAAGAAGAUA